This is an unclassified non-coding RNA of Macaca fascicularis (crab-eating macaque), 148 nucleotides long. It matches the Rfam family "Metazoan signal recognition particle RNA". From Rfam's summary of the family: The signal recognition particle (SRP) is a universally conserved ribonucleoprotein. It is involved in the co-translational targeting of proteins to membranes. The eukaryotic SRP consists of a 300-nucleotide 7S RNA and six proteins: SRPs 72, 68, 54, 19, 14, and 9. Lineage: Eukaryota; Metazoa; Chordata; Mammalia; Primates; Cercopithecidae. The record is from Ensembl.
GCCGGGCAUGGUGGUGCAUGCCUGUAAUCCCAGCUACUUGGGAGGCUGAGGCAGGAGAAUUAUUUGAAUCCAGGAGGCAGAGGUUGCAGUGAGCUAAGGUUGUGUCACUGCACUCCAGCCUGGGUGACAGAGCAAGACUCUGUCUCAA